AGUGAACGCUGGCGGUAGGCCUAACACAUGCAAGUCGAACGGCAGCACAGUAAGAGCUUGCUCUUACGGGUGGCGAGUGGCGGACGGGUGAGGAAUACAUCGGAAUCUACUUUUUCGUGGGGGAUAACGUAGGGAAACUUACGCUAAUACCGCAUACGACCUACGGGUGAAAGUAGGGGAUCUUCGGACCUUGCGCGAUUGAAUGAGCCGAUGUCGGAUUAGCUAGUUGGCGGGGUAAAGGCCCACCAAGGCGACGAUCCGUAGCUGGUCUGAGAGGAUGAUCAGCCACACUGGAACUGAGACACGGUCCAGACUCCUACGGGAGGCAGCAGUGUGGAAUAUUGGACAGUGGGCGCAAGCCUGAUCCAGCCAUACCGCGUGGGUGAAGAAGGCCUUCGGGUUGUAAAGCCCUUUUGUUGGGAAAGAAAAGCAGCAGGUUAAUACCCCGCUGUUCUGACGGUACCCAAAGAAUAAGCACCGGCUAACCUCGUG
Molecule: ribosomal RNA, 492 nt
Filed under: uncultured bacterium
Lineage: Bacteria
Description: partial 16S ribosomal RNA
Rfam family: Bacterial small subunit ribosomal RNA
Source: RNAcentral